Molecule: ribosomal RNA, 415 nt
Filed under: Mesorhizobium sp.
Lineage: Bacteria; Pseudomonadati; Pseudomonadota; Alphaproteobacteria; Hyphomicrobiales; Phyllobacteriaceae
Description: partial 23S ribosomal RNA
Rfam family: Bacterial large subunit ribosomal RNA
Source: RNAcentral
GUUAUAUGGUCAAGUGAAGAAGCGCAUACGGUGGAUGCCUUGGCAGUCAGAGGCGAUGAAAGACGUGGUAGCCUGCGAUAAGCUUCGGGGAGUCGGCAAACAGACUUUGAUCCGGAGAUCUCUGAAUGGGGGAACCCACCUAGCAUAAGCUGGGUAUCAUGCACUGAAUACAUAGGUGCAAGAGGCGAACCAGGGGAACUGAAACAUCUAAGUACCCUGAGGAAAAGAAAUCAACCGAGAUUCCCUUAGUAGUGGCGAGCGAACGGGGACUAGCCCUUAAGUUGAUUAGAGUGUAGUGGAAGGCUCUGGAAAGUGCCGCCGUAGUGGGUGAUAGCCCCGUACACGAAAUGCUCUUAUCAAUGAAAUCGAGUAGGACGGAGCACGAGAAACUUUGUCUGAAUAUGGGGGGACCAUC